RNAcentral lists this ribosomal RNA (487 nucleotides) under uncultured bacterium. RNAcentral describes it as "bacterial SSU rRNA". It matches the Rfam family "Bacterial small subunit ribosomal RNA", at positions 28 to 521 of the family's 1533-position model. The record is from RNAcentral.
GAUAAACGCUGGCGGCGCACAUAAGACAUGCAAGUCGAACGGACUUAAUCGAAAUAUUUAUAUUUUGAAGCGGUUAGUGGCGGACUGGUGAGUAACGCGUAAGGAACCUGCCUAUUAGAGGGGAAUAACAGUGAGAAAUCAUUGCUAAUACCGCAUAUGCCAUAGAUAUCACAUGAUAACAGUGGGAAAGGAGCAAUCCGCUAAUAGAUGGCCUUGCGUCUGAUUAGAUAGUUGGUGGGGUAACGGCCUACCAAGUCGACGAUCAGUAGCCGGACUGAGAGGUUGAACGGCCACAUUGGGACUGAGAUACGGCCCAGACUCCUACGGGAGGCAGCAGUCGGGAAUAUUGCGCAAUGGAGGAAACUCUGACGCAGUGACGCCGCGUAUAGGAAGAAGGUUUUCGGAUUGUAAACUAUUGUCGUUAGGGAAGAGAAAGGACAGUACCUAAGGAGGAAGCUCCGGCUAACUACGUGCCAGCAGCCGCGGU